CAAUAGCGUAUAUUAAAGUUGUUGCAGUUAAAAAGCUCGUAGUUGGAUUUCGGGGUGGCCUGGCUGGUCCGCCGCAAGGUGAGUGCUGGUCAGCCGCCCUUCCUCUCGAAAGCCCCGACUGCUCUUUACUGCAGUGGUCGGGUAGUUCGGGACGUUUACUUUGAAAAAAUUAGAGUGUUCAAGGCAGGCUAUCGCCUGAAUACAUUAGCAUGGAAUAAUGGAAGAGGACCUCGGUCCUAUUUUGUUGGUUUCUAGGGCCGAAGUAAUGAUUAAGAGGGACAGUUGGGGGCAUUCGUAUUUAAUUGUCAGAGGUGAAAUUCUUGGAUUUAUGAAAGACGAACUAGUGCGAAAGCAUUUGCCAAGGAUGUUUUCAUUAA
RNAcentral lists this ribosomal RNA (377 nucleotides) under uncultured eukaryote. RNAcentral's name for it is "partial 18S ribosomal RNA". It matches the Rfam family "Eukaryotic small subunit ribosomal RNA", at positions 592 to 976 of the family's 1831-position model. The record is from RNAcentral.